GACAUCACCAUGUUUGUCAUGGGUGUCAGCGAGAAGGAAUACAAGUCGAACAUCACCAUUGUCUCCAGCACUAGCUGCACCACCAAUUGCCUGCUCCUCUUGCUAAGGUUUUGGUUAAUUUACGGAGGAAUCAAAAAUCAAGAAGGUGCAAGAAUAAGAGAAUAAGGAAGCGGCGAUUUUACUGAAGUGGCAUACACUAGAAGGCAGUGAUGCAGGAGGCAGUUAGUUUGCUGGGUGGAACAGAGCCGAUUUAUAGCAGCGAAGCAUCUUAUGGGACCAGUGUAGUGUUUUUUCUUAGUGGAAUUGAUUGGCUGUGAUGCUGAGUGUAGAGAAGCAAAUCAUCUCCCUCUCCUCUAGGCCGUUUGGCAUACUACAGUCAUGGUAGUUGAAUUUUAUUUCUUCAGUGGAUGAUGUGCUGCAAAAUAUUUGGGAGACUGGUGGUGGCGACGACGGUGCAUUGGGCUCAUUGUUUCUCGAUUUCGGAUGUCAUAGGGAGUACACCUCUUGUGUGAAUUUACUAUGGCCAGGUUGUGUGUCUAAAUCAGCUCUGUUCCUUAUCUGUUACAAGCCUGCUGCUCCUACAGCUGGGGUUCCUUCUCUGAUCCAAAGUGCUUUUGUGGAGGAGUCAGCGCUGAUUGCAAUAACGUU
Long non-coding RNA from Lolium rigidum, 648 nucleotides. RefSeq lists it as uncharacterized. The record is from RefSeq and is a predicted model, not a curated record. The transcript is spliced from 6 exons. Lineage: Eukaryota; Viridiplantae; Streptophyta; Magnoliopsida; Poales; Poaceae.